AUACAGGGGGUGCGAGCGUUAAUCGGAAUUACUGGGCGUAAAGAGUACGUAGGCGGUUGCUUAAGCCAGAUGUGAAAGCCCCGGGCUCAACCUGGGAACUGCAUUUGAAACUGAGUGACUAGAGUUUAAGAGAGGGGAGUAGAAUUCCGGGUGUAGCGGUGAAAUGCGUAGAGAUCCGGAGGAAUACCAGUGGCGAAGGCGGCUCCCUGGCUUAAAACUGACGCUGAGGUACGAAAGCGUGGGUAGCAAACAGGAUUAGAUACCCCAGUAGUCC
RNAcentral lists this ribosomal RNA (274 nucleotides) under uncultured bacterium. RNAcentral's name for it is "partial 16S ribosomal RNA". It matches the Rfam family "Bacterial small subunit ribosomal RNA", at positions 523 to 796 of the family's 1533-position model. The record is from RNAcentral.